RNAcentral lists this transfer RNA (87 nucleotides) under bacterium. RNAcentral describes it as "tRNA-Ser". It matches the Rfam family "tRNA". Rfam says of the family: Transfer RNA (tRNA) molecules are approximately 80 nucleotides in length. Their secondary structure includes four short double-helical elements and three loops (D, anti-codon, and T loops). The record is from RNAcentral.
GGAAGGGUGUCAGAGUGGUCGAAUGAACCGGUUUCGAAAACCGGCAGGGGCGCAAGCUCCUCGUGGGUUCAAAUCCCACCCCUUCCG